Molecule: ribosomal RNA, 559 nt
Filed under: uncultured bacterium
Lineage: Bacteria
Description: bacterial SSU rRNA
Rfam family: Bacterial small subunit ribosomal RNA
Source: RNAcentral
UCCUACGGGAGGCAGCAGUGGGGAAUAUUGCACAAUGGAGGAAACUCUGAUGCAGCGACGCCGCGUGAGUGAAGAAGGUCUUCGGAUCGUAAAACUCUGUCCUUGGUGAAGAUAAUGACGGUAGCCAAGGAGGAAGCCCCGGCUAACUACGUGCCAGCAGCCGCGGUAAUACGUAGGGGGCUAGCGUUGUCCGGAUUUACUGGGCGUAAAGGGUGAGUAGGCUGUUGCAUAAGUCAGAUGUAAAAGGCUAAGGCUUAACCAUAGUAUGCAUUUGAAACUGUGUGACUUGAGUACAGGAGAGGUAAGCGGAAUUCCUAGUGUAGCGGUGAAAUGCGUAGAUAUUAGGAGGAACACCAGUGGCGAAGGCGGCUUACUGGACUGUAACUGACGCUGAGUCACGAAAGCGUGGGUAGCAAACAGGAUUAGAUACCCUGGUAGUCCACGCUGUAAACGAUGAGUGCUAGGUGUUGGGUAGCGAUACUCAGUGCCGAAGUAAACACAAUAAGCACUCCGCCUGGGGAGUACGGUCGCAAGACUGAAACUCAAAGGAAUUGACGGA